Molecule: ribosomal RNA, 253 nt
Filed under: uncultured bacterium
Lineage: Bacteria
Description: partial 16S ribosomal RNA
Rfam family: Bacterial small subunit ribosomal RNA
Source: RNAcentral
GACGUAGGGUGCGAGCGUUGUCCGGAUUUAUUGGGCGUAAAGAGCUCGUAGGCGGCUCGUCGCGUCGACCGUGAAAACCCGCGGCUUAACUGCGGGCUUGCGGUUGAUACGGGCGGGCUAGAGUUCGGUAGGGGAGACUGGAAUUCCUGGUGUAGCGGUGAAAUGCGCGGAUAUCAGGAGGAACACCGGUGGCGAAGGCGGGUCUCUGGGCCGAUACUGACGCUGAGGAGCGAAAGCGUGGGGAGCGAACAGG